This 332-nucleotide unclassified non-coding RNA is filed under the name Hevea brasiliensis (rubber tree). The record is from RNAcentral. Lineage: Eukaryota; Viridiplantae; Streptophyta; Magnoliopsida; Malpighiales; Euphorbiaceae.
AUGAAUGAAGGCUAGUCCUCGAGCUACGCCUCUUGCUAUUUUGAACCGAACUUCUAGGGGCAUAUGAAAUGAUGACGAACCAGAUUUUCUGUAACUGGAGCUUGCAAGGCUGCCAUUGGAGAUAUAGUCAUAAAUAACAAGCUUCUCAUUGUCUCCCCAAUAAAACCCACGAACCUUAACCAAAUUUGGGUGUCUGAACUUCGCAGUGAACCGCACUUGGUUCUCAAAAUCUCUGAAACUCUCCACACCACUUUCUCCUAUCCUCCUCACUGCAAACGCAGUACCAUCUGCGAGCACAGCCUUGUACACUAUGCUUGCUUUGCUACUUCCCA